This 253-nucleotide ribosomal RNA is filed under the name uncultured bacterium. RNAcentral's name for it is "partial 16S ribosomal RNA". It matches the Rfam family "Bacterial small subunit ribosomal RNA", at positions 524 to 776 of the family's 1533-position model. The record is from RNAcentral.
UACGUAGGGGGCGAGCGUUGUCCGGAGUUACUGGGUGUAAAGGGCACGCAGGCGGUGCGGCGCGUUUCGCGUGACAGCGGAGGGCUUAACUCUCCGAGGAUGCGAAAGACGGCGGCACUUGAGGGCCAGAGAGGGACACGGAAUUCCGGGUGGAGUGGUGAAAUGCGUAGAGAUCCGGAGGAACACCGAAGGCGAAGGCAGUGUCCUGGCUGGUGACUGACGCUGAGGUGCGAAAGCUAGGGGAGCGAACGGG